AGCAACUCCCCCAGUGUCAUGCAAUUGUAACUGAGGGAGCCAGGAUUCAUACCCAAGACUGACUCUGUGGCCACAGAGGGCCUCAAGCCACUGCUCUGUCCCCCAUGCCGUGGCAGAUGCUGUACACUGAUUGUGCAUCUUUCUUGCUGCAUCAGGAGGCAGCCUUAGUACUCUUCCAAAUAUAGCCGGCCACCACCAACCUGCAGGGUGGGGGCUGUGAUCUGAACACUUGUUUCCCCCCAAAAUUCAUAUGCUGAAAUCCUAACUCCCAAGGGGGCAUUAGGAGGUGGGGGCUUUGGGAGGUGAUUAGAUCAUGGGAGUGGAGCCCUCCUGAAUGGGAUUAGUGCCCUUAUCCAAGGAGCCCCAGAGAGACCCCUGGUCCCUUCUACCAUGUUGGGGCACAGCAAGAAGCACCAUCUAUGAACCAGAAAAUGGGCCCUCACCAGACACCCAAUCUACCGGUGCUUUGAUCUUGGAUCUCCCAGCCUCCAGAACUGCGAGAAAUAUUUUUCUGCUGUCUUUAAGUCAGCGUGUUAUGGUAUUUGGUUGCAGCAGCCUGCAUGGACUAAGAGUGGGCAUGCAAACCAAGCCUGUGGGCCAUCCCAGCACCAUUCAUACUGCCUUCCACCUGCCGUUGUUGGGCUCUUUGUGUCAGCUCACGUGGGUUUUAGGGCCCAGCUCCUCUGCAGAAUUCUGAUGCCUGGUUCAGGUAGGCAGGGCCAGGUAUAGGCAUGCAGGGAAAGAGUCACCAUUUCCUGUGAGGAUUUAUUGUUGAUGUGGGGAGUUUUUUCAUUAGCAAUCCAUAUAUGUGAGUCAAUCAUUGCCCUCUCCUUUUUUGAGACAUAAGUACCUCUGGGAUAGGUAACACCUGUACUUUACUGCAAAUUUAUCUUUUGGAUUUUUUUUUUCUUUAAUUUUUUUGUCCAGAAGGAUACGCUAGAGUUUUCCAGUUGUCUGGGGGUACUGGCUGAAACCCAAAACUUAGAACAACAGGCAAUCUCCCUUGCCACGCCCCUCUUUUCCUGCAACACACACAUUUUAAAGACAGGUGCUAGACCAUCCAGGCAGAAGUUGCUAAGAAGUAUUCCAACUGGUCCUGCAAGUCCUGGUCUUGGCACUUCAUCCACCUCCAGUCUAGAUUUAAUCAAAGGCUAAAGAUUGCUCAAAGCAGACUUCUUUAAUGAGAAAGAGUGUCGACUCCCUGCUGUAGCUCCCCGCUGUGGCUCCCUCCCGAAUCUGAGCAUUAAACGCUUGGGAGUGGCAUGCACAUCCACGAUUUGUUGGGGCCAGGGCUGGAAUGUUUCUUUGGGGUCCGAGGUGACAUGAUCCCUUGGGUGGUAUCCAGGCCCCAGGGACUUGAAAGCACUCCACUCAAGAUUUCUGUCUGCCAAGGAGAGGAGACCCCAGCAGAAGGAGCCCCGGUGGGGGGUACCUACAAGCAGGAGCUGAGGAAUUGUAGGCAGUCAGCUGGAGAGGGUAUGGCCCAUGCUGCUUAGAUCAGAGAAUGGGGCACGCUGGGGAUCCCCAGCAAGCAGGUCUCCAAAAAUCCACAAAAAUCCUCUCCUUGAGGGAUAGGGAAAGAGCCUGCCCAGACAGUUAUGGAACAACAGCCCCCCAAAGAUAUUCAAAUUUUAAUCCCAGAACCUCUGAAUAUACUGUUUUACCUGACCAGAGGGACUUUGCUGAUGUGUUUAAGUUAAAGAUCUGGAGGUGAGAAAAUUAUCCUGAAUGAUCUGGGUGGUCCCAGUGCAGUCACAGAGUUGCUAUAAGAGAGAAGAGUUGUGAUAAGAGUCACAGGUUGCUAUAAGAUACAAGGAUGGAGGCAGAAGUCAGAGAGGAGAGAAGAUGCUAAGCUGCUGGCUUUAAAGAUAGAGAAGGGAUUACAAGCCAAAGAAUGCAAGUGGCUUCUAGAAGCUGAAAAAAGCAAGGCAAGGGAUUACCCCCUGGAGCCUCUGGAAGGAAUGCAGCCCUGCUUACCUGUGUCAGACUUCUGACCUCCAGAACUACAAGAAAACAAAUGUGUGUUAUUUUAUGCAUCUGAGUUUGAGACAAUUCAGCAGCCAUGAGAAACGAAUCCACCUGCCCUGCUCUGGAGAUAGCCAGCAGCUGUGGAGCGCUGCUAGAGAAAACGCAGGACGCCCAAGUAGUGCAUGGGACAUUCUUAUACUAAAAGAGUAUUUGUUGUUUAUCUGACAUUCCAAUUUAACUUGACAUCCUUUAAUUUUUUUUUUUUUUUUUUUGGCAAAAUCUGGUAACUCGAAGCCAGAAGAGAGAAGAAAACCAACCAGCUUAUUUAAAGAACACUUUUAUCCUUUGUUUUCCAUCUCUCCUCCCUGCCCUGAACCUGGAGAGCCUGAAGUGGGUGGUAAACACGUGAGGAGGAGUAGAAAUGUGGGGAGAGACAAAGAAGAGACUGUGACCCUCCCCAUGGCAGGUUUUUGCUCUCUGGGUCAGGCAUGGAGGUAGAAAACGGGGGAAGAUGAAGGAGAGGGAAUAAAACUUGCAUGGGCCAAGCGAUUCAAGUUUUCAUUUAGAUUGGCCUGGAAAUUUUAAUAUCUAAAAAUAAACAUCAUUGGUUAAUAUCUGAAAGUGACCAAAAUGUUUCAGAAUCUUAUCAAGAUAUCAUCCCAGCUGGGGAAGAGAAAACUGAGAGGGAAGGUCUGAAAGGCAGAGAGGAAAGGUAAAGGCAAUACCCAGUUAUACAACCAGGAGCCCAGAAUGGUCAAUAAGCCAGUUACCAGUUCUUACCCAUCCCUGCUGUGUCCUCUAUUGAAGUGGAUGCAUCAUUUCUGGGAAGAGUGACACCCACAUCUUACUAUGCCAUCAUUUUACUGUAUUGCUUUUUUUCUGUGCCAGGGAGAAUGGUUGGGCACCACAGUGAGGGUGGAGGGUACCUCAAGAAUAAGGACCCCUAUGAACCUGGUGACCUCUGGGGGCCUGGGCAUCUCUUGAGACUGGACCUGAGCAGCUUGGUGAACCAAUCCCAAGUUCUACCAUCAAAAAGAAAAAUAUGGGGUGCUUUCAAAGUUCUGUGCCUGGAGCCCUCUGGACAGCUUCUGGGAAAACUUCCCAAAGCAAGGGGUUCACCAGAAUUGCACAUGACCAUGAUCACGUUGGCCACAGGGAACUGCUGAGAAUGUUUCUCUCCACCUGGUUUUCUUGACCUCAGCAGAUGUGAAUGGCUUCUGUCUGUCUGACUCACCCUAAGCCUGACCUAUUUGUGAAAUGCUUUCUCUACAAAAAAGCUAGAGAUAAGUGCAGAGAAUUAUACAUUUAUAAUCCCAGUAGAGACGGGGUUGCCUAACCCUCUCAUUUCAGCUGCUCCCUGCCUUGCCAGUGCUAGGUGCAAGCUGACCAAAUGUUGGAACUCUACAGGAUGAAUGAACCACCUGUGAGGUGACAUGGAACAAGUCAUAUGGAACAACCGAUUCGUGCCUCAGGUUUCUCUUAUGGAAAAUGGGGCUGAUAAUAGUAUUCACAUCAUAAGAUUGUUGUAGUGAGAAGAAAAUGUGAGUAAUACAUGUAAAGUGCUUCGAACAGGAAUUGGCAUGAAUAAAUGCUCAAUAAGUGUUAGCUACUCUUGUUUUAUGUCAUUGUUUCAAGAGUAUAACUUUUCUUCUUUCCUUUUGGUAUCAUGGAUCCGAUGAAAAAUAGGUUGCAACCUGUAUGUCAAGUUCAACCAAUUGGUUGUAGCUACCUAGAGAGCUGUGUUGAGAAGGAUUCUGAGGCCGCAUCGAGCUCAUUUAAGGGGAAAUUAUAUAGUGUCCUACGAGUGUUACUAUGAGUAGCAUCUCUGCUACUGCAUGCGGUAAUGGGGAGUGGUGGCAUUGGUGCCACAUCAUUUCCAUUCCUGUAUUGUAUUUUGUCUUGUAAGGUUUGUUUUUCCCUGCCUCUGUCUCAGCCCUCCCCUCCCCAUCUGCCUUUGCCUUUGUAGGGCAUCCUGGUCCUUGAAUGGGCUUGGAUGCCAAUCGCUGCUCUGUAGAAUCUGCAGUCCAUUCCAAGUAAGAACCUUCUGAGAUGAUGAUGAUGAUGAUAAUGAUGAUUUUGGAGAGAGCAAAGACCACAUGGCCUGAUACUGAGGAUGCUGCUAGGCUGUGAAGCACCCACAGGAUCCUUUGUGUGCCAAUCAAGGGCACCCUUAGAGAAACCAGGAAGAUCUUCACUGAGCAGUGGAAGGAAUGGGCCAAAGGAAGAAGUGCAUGGAGCAGAAAGUCCCGAAAGGGAAGCUUCCGGCUGUCCUCUCCCAGUAGACUCAUGGGCAGCGCCAACUUUUCCUGGCCAGGAUAUGUGACAGUACACGUGGAAUACUGCCCCCCAGGGAGCUCACCCGAGCCUUUGUGUACAGAGCUUUUACUGGGUCUCAGGCAGGUAGACAUGGUGGACUCCCUAUGUGACUGACCGUUCAUCUCCAGCCCUUCUGCAGGUCAAGCUGAUGCUUUGUGGCUGAAAACCCCCAGUAUAAAUCACGCUGUUAGGCUUUUCAAUAUGGUUCAAGACUCCCCAAGCAAACAAAGAUACUCUUAUCAGGCAGGACAUCCCCAGGACUUAGAGGUACCUCCCAGGAACCUCCGGCAAUGGCCGGACAUCUCUGGAUAAGGUCAAUUCUUUACUACAUAGUACCCGACUCUUGAAACUGCCACAGAGCUGCACACCUGGAGCAGUUGGAGGUAGGUGAGAGGGUGGAAGAAUUAGCUAACACAUAGUUGUAGCCACUGAAACACAAUUUAGUGGAAGAUUUCUUUUUGUACCUGCAAAGACAGCAUAGAGUUCAUUGCUUUCAGAGGCAACUGAGUAGUUCCAGGUUAAAAGCAUCACUCGGCCUGGGUUUAGCACCUAACACUUUUCAGUGUAUUUUCAUCUGUUGUCUCAUUUAAUCCUCAAAAGAGAUGGAAAGAAGGGGUGUUGUUAAGCCUGGCCUGGAGGUUGGAGCUCACCAGGGUCAUGGGAUGAGGGAGCAGAAGCAGCAUGAGGAGGGUCCUGGCCACUUCCCUCACCCUGCCCCACCCUGACUCCUCCUCCCAGGUUGUUCAGACAGAGCGAGUCCUGUGGCCAAGAAGAUCAGCAGAUAUUUUGCAGCAUCAGGUAUCUGGUAAUGCCCGGGUUGUACGGGGAUGGUUGUUGUGGAGUUCACCACACUGGGCGAUUACAUGAGGUCACUGCCCGCCUGAUGUGACCAACUUACUUGUGGGAAAGCAAGCUGUUUGCUGGAGUCUCUGAGGUCCAACAUGUGUUGACUCGUCUGAAGCAAGCCUUCGCCCGGGGUCAUGACCUCACCCUGAAGUUUGGUGUAAAUUCCAUGUAAUCUCUGUGUAAACAUUGGAAAGCCGCUCUUUCAGGGCACUUUCCUUUAGGGGCCCUCCCUGAGGGGUUAGGCCAUUUCUGUGGGGCUGCAGCUGCAAUGGUGAUGACUGUACCUGACUCCUCUGCAGGAGGCUGAACCCCCUGAAGGGGAAGAAAGGCAGUGUGUCUAGGACUCUGCCCGCUCCCUCUGACCUGUACUGUUCCCUCGGGCUUUCUGGCGUGCAGCUGGGAUCUAGAUAGUCUUGUGUUUUCUCUGAAGGUGACAUCUGUCUUAACAAGUGCAUUUGUAUGUAAUUUGCACAGGAAUUGGCACUAUUUUAUGGAGGUCUGUGUGGUUUUUUUGAGCUACCAGUUUUGCUUCCUGCUUACCUGUGAUGCUCAUCCGUAAUUAUUGGAAGCACCACUCUUUCAGGAAGUAAUCUGACUGGGUUGCAGCUCCACGGGGCAGGCCCUGCCCUGUCCUGUUCACAGCUGCAUCUUGGCACCUAUGACAGUGCCUGCCAUGUAUGGCACUUGCUAAAUGUUUGUUGAAUCCUAUGAGGCCACUCACUGACUUAGCUUCCUGUGGCUCCUGUAACAUAUACUGCAAACCUGGUGGCUUAUAACAGUAUGCAUUUUUUCUCUUACUGUUCUGAAGGCCGGAAGUCCACAAUCAGUGUUGCUGGCUGAAAUCAAGGUGCUGGCAGGCUGCGCUCCCUCUGGAGGCUCUAGGGGAGCCAGCCUCUGAUGGCUGCGGCAGCUGCGGCGUUUCUUGGCUGUGGUCACAGUCUCUGCCCCCACGGCCACAUCGCCUUCUCCUCUCCUGUGUGUGCCUCCGCCUUAUUAGGGCCACCUGGAUAAUCCGGGAUCAACUCCUCAUUUCAGAAUCCUGGAUGCAGUAGCAAAGUGCCCCUCCCUCUUUUCGGUAUUGGUGGCAGCUACAGGUAGUGGGGAUCAGGAGGUGGCUAUCCGCCACACUCACCAAGGGGAUGGAAACCUGAAGGGAGCUGGUCAGUGGUGGCAGUGUCACUCCCGCUGCCCAUUAGGCCGGAUGCCUGCUGGGGAGUCUGGCAUGAACAUGAGUUGGGGAAAGGGAGUUCCAUCCCAACCCCUUCCCUGAGGAUAAGCUUGCCUGGGCAGAGAGCCUCCCAGUUUACAUGGGUAAGGUAUAUGGAUGUGCUUUGGUUAAGAAUAGGCUGAGGUGGAUAACCAGGCCUGCAUGACUCAGUGAGUUUAGAGUGCAGGCAUAUAGCUCUGCUUGUUAUCACAGCCAUGUAGCCAUAACAUGCGAAGGCCAUGCCUUGGCCCUAUGCCACUAUUGUCUGUAAAAGCUUAAUUGGCCUGCUGACUCCGUACAGGCGCACUUGCACCCAGAGAGAGAGAGAGCCAGAGCUGUCCGACUUUGCAGAUGGACAGGGGGAAACAGGACACAGCUCAGCCUACUCAUACCCAGAGAGAGAAGGAGUUCAGCUGCUGACCCUGAAGGCAAGGGAGAGCUGGCCACGCAGGUGUGUGUGGGAGCUGGCUGCUGAGAGGAACCGCUGAGCCGGAGCAGGCAGCCAAAAUAAAGGUGAACAGUGUAAAAGAGCUAGUGUAAGCUGCUGACGAGAGAGCUCCUGAAUAAAAUUACAUUUCACCUGCCUUCAGCCCCCCGAAUGUUCUUUCAGCUAUCUGCUCAUCCACCCACACCUUUCGGACCUCAGCUGGGGCUGGACCCCAACCCUGAGUGUAACAACAAGCGAUACUUUUGUUAGGUCCAUUUUCACUUCCUUCAUCAGAAAUGUCCUGCGCUCUCCCUGGGCACUGUCCUGCGGCUGGUAAGAGGCAGAGGGCAGGAACUGUGUCAGUCUUGUUCCUUGUUGUAACCCAGUGCCUGGCACAUGGUAUCUGUUCUCCUUGACAUAAGUGCAUGGAUGUUCCCACUCCACAGUGCGAAUCCUCAUAAUGGAAGCCAAAGCACAGUCCCCUCCAACUGCUUGCCUCAGAAUCACUGGCUAUACUUAUACAAAAGCGGAUUCCUGAACUGCCUCCCAGACAGACUGAGUUCGAAUCUCUGUGGCUAGGACCUAGAUAUCUGCAUUUUUAAUAAGAUCCCAGAUGAUGCUGAUGUAUCAUCACCUAAGAAUUACUGGCCUAAAGGUACUUCCAACACAGCCCACCAUGCCAGUACAAAGCAGGUGUGCACACUUUUGGAAGGAUCCCCAUUUUCUCCUGGGGAACUGGCCUUGGGAUAUGACCAAUAGUGCCCCAUAGCUCUCAGAACAUCCCUGUCCCCAUGGGCCCUCGCGGGCAGGCUGAGCACAGCAGUGUGGCACUCAGCGGCUGGCCUGGGAUUCGGUGGAAAUAGGUUUGCUGCUUCUCAGCCAAGUGGCCUGAAGCAAACGAUUUAAGCUGUCUCGAUUUCCUCAUCUGGAUAAUGGGGACACAAAUAGAACCAAUAAAAAGUGUUGAGAAGACUGAAUGCCGGCAUGUGCAUGAAAUGCCUCAUCGGUGCAUAGCACAGUGUUUGAUAACUCAGAACUUUUUCAAAAAGGUAUGAUGAUGAAAACCUUAUUCUGAAGAAAGAAAACGUCACAGAAAUCAUCAUUACAAAGCCCAGCUGAAGCUCUCCUGCACAUCAGACCCUCCUGGGGAGUGUUUGGAAAACAUCAGUCUAGUGGCCCCUCCCCAGUCUUAUGCCUUCCCCAUCCUUCCCUCCCACCUGUGAAACCAGAGGAAUCUCUAGUAGGGGGUGUCUGAAUUUUUUGAAGAAGAGGAAGCUUUCCUAUGGCAAGAAUCACCCGGGGCACUUGAAGACAUGGCCUGGCCUCUCCGGAAAAUUCUGCUUUGGGUGUUGGAGAUGGGUUCUUGGAACUUGCAUUUUUAAUCAGGUGCUUCUUAACUUUUCAGCAAUUAAGGAAGCGCUGGUUUAAAGUGAGUUUAACCCACUGUGGUUGAGAGAGGUUUUGGUGCCACCCUGACCAGCCGAGGCCGUCUCCCCUGUUACCCACAAUUCCUUGUGAUGAUGCCACCUCUAUCCAGGAGGGAAGCGUCACUCAUGGUGUGGAGCCUGCUAGUCGUGUUUGGAGAUUGCAAAGCACAGUCUUCGUCGGUCUGUGUAUGUGUUCAUGUAAGCGUGCACACAGACUCACACUUCUGAAAACCACCUCGAUGAUGGCAGGAAAAAAGAACUGACUAAAACUGUAGAAGUUAAGGGCCAACACAGUGCUCAGAGGAACUUUAUCUCUAACACUAAAUAGAAACAAAGGAUGAGGAGGGGUCCCAUGGACAGAUGGGGAGAAUAGGAGACUCAGUUCAGAGUCCCUGAACUCUGGGACUCUGAACUGAGUCAGGGAGUUUCAGUCAGGGAGGCCCCUGACUGAAAGCCAGCAGUCCCCACGUGGAGCUCUCGCCUUCUAGAUGGUUCAGCCUUGCAGGCUGCUUCCAUCUGAGAAUCCUGGGAGGCUCGCCCUUCCCCAUGUGCUUCAAGCCUAAAGAAGUGUUGGGAGCUGUCCUGCCACUCGUGGGGCAAGGGGAGGACUGCUUAGCCAACCCUGGUGAGAUGUCAGCUAGGGAGAGGCUGCUGUUCUUGCCCCUGCCCUCCCAGGUCUUUCUAAGGAUGAUUCUGUAAACCUUCUUUGUGUCUCCGCCGUGGAGCUGGCUGCCAAGGGGCAGCUUUGCUUACCCAGCCUGGUGCUGCUGGUGGUGCCUUAGUCUUCUGAUGUGAUCUCUGUAACAGGGACUUGAAAAUAACACUCAGAGCAGUGCCCUGCUCAAAUGGUCACAGGUCACAUCCUGAAGAACCAUCUAUUCUGGGCAUGUUGAAGUUUGGAGCAGAUGAGUGCUGGAUAAACAGUGUUUUUCUAGGACUACACCAGGAACACCAAAUAUAGUAGAAAUGUAACAAGCCCUCAGAAGACGAUUUAUGAAAACAAAACAACAAAAUGUGUAAUUCUGUGAAUAUACUAAAAACCAUUGAAUUAUACACUU
Molecule: non-coding RNA, 9249 nt
Organism: Macaca mulatta (Rhesus monkey)
Lineage: Eukaryota; Metazoa; Chordata; Mammalia; Primates; Cercopithecidae
Source: RefSeq, a predicted model, not a curated record